Molecule: non-coding RNA, 134 nt
Organism: Hordeum vulgare subsp. vulgare (domesticated barley)
Lineage: Eukaryota; Viridiplantae; Streptophyta; Magnoliopsida; Poales; Poaceae
Source: Rfam
GUAGUACUCCCUCCGUCCUAAAAUUAUUGUCUUAUGUUUUUUAAAAUGAAUGUAUCUAAAUACUAAAACGUGACUAAAUACAUUCAUAUAUAAAUAAAUCUAAGACAAGAAUUUUGGCACGGAGAGAGUAUAAU